This 253-nucleotide ribosomal RNA is filed under the name uncultured bacterium. RNAcentral's name for it is "partial 16S ribosomal RNA". It matches the Rfam family "Bacterial small subunit ribosomal RNA", at positions 524 to 776 of the family's 1533-position model. The record is from RNAcentral.
UACGUAGGGUACGAGCGUUAAUCGGAAUUACUGGGCGUAAAGCGUGCGCAGGCGGUUUUGUAAGCCAGGUGUGAAAUCCCCGGGCUUAACCUGGGAAUGGCAUUUGGGACUGCAAGGCUCGAGUGCGGCAGAGGAGACUGGAAUUCCUGGUGUAGCAGUGAAAUGCGUAGAUAUCAGGAGGAACACCGAUGGCGAAGGCAGGUCUCUGGGCUGACACUGACGCUCAUGCACGAAAGCGUGGGGAGCAAACAGG